RNAcentral lists this ribosomal RNA (369 nucleotides) under Aedes vexans. RNAcentral describes it as "eukaryotic LSU rRNA". The stretch from base 1 to 84 matches the Rfam family "5.8S ribosomal RNA", at positions 69 to 154 of the family's 154-position model. The record is from RNAcentral. Lineage: Eukaryota; Metazoa; Arthropoda; Insecta; Diptera; Culicidae.
GAACUGCAGGACACAUGAACACCGACACGUUGAACGCAUAUUGCACAUCGUACAACAGUACGAUGUACACAUUUUUGAGUGCCUAUAUUUAUCCAUUCAACUAUACGUGCCGUCGCUCUCUCGGGGGUGACGGCCGUAUGCGUAGUGAUGUUUUCCCGCCUUCGGUGCGCGAUAAAACAUUGAAGAUAGUCAGACGCGUCGCGGCCAGCAGUGGCCCGGUGCGGUUGAUGAGUACAUCCCAUUGCGCGAUCCACCGCGAUCCAAGCGAUGUUGUGCUCCAUCUAUUCGUUGACUUACUCUCACUUGACUGUGAUAAAGACAAUUCAGUAGGCCUCAAAUAAUGUGUGACUACCCCCUAAAUUUAAGCAU